GCUGCAGGAGGCGCCCCAUGCGAGCGGCGCCGGGCGCUCCCGCGGUCCCGGUGAGGCGGCUGCCCUCAGGCUGGCGGAGGCGCAGCAGCCCCCGAGCUGCAGCCGUCUCCCUCGGGCUGCUGCCGGUGCUGCGAGCGGAGGCGGCUCCGCCGCGUGUUGGGCGUUGCGAGCAGAGAGCGCUGCGAUAUCGCCGGAAUGACUGGGCUGCUGCCUGCGCUCGAGGCUCUUUCUUCCAUGAAAACGGAUGGAGCGGCGCUGAGGGGUAAACCCAGAGAUGGCCAGGAGAAUGCCCAGCGCAGGGAGCAGGCGGGCUGUAUCCUUCCGAUGGCACAGGGAAAGACUCUGGUAUCCUUGUCGUCAGGCUCGGUGCUGUCCAAGAAGAUACAAAGACUAAAAAAAUCAUAAGAAGCAAAAUAUGACUGCAGGGAAAACAAGCUGGAGAGAACAAAAGAGCCCUGUCGUACUAAUCGUCAUACAGAUACAAAACAAAAAAGCAGACCCUGUCCCAGCCACUUAGAGCCUAGAACACGAUUUCCUCAGGCUGCCAUUUGUGUGCCAUCGGUACUCACCACGGAAGCGAGCUGGGGAUUAUUGCAGUUGUUGGAAACAAACCGCUUCUCGUCACACAGAAAUGGAAUUCGGAUGCUGCCUCAGCCAGCCCCUCUCUGCCGUCGUCUCCUGAAUCUGCAGCAGAGCAGUUCCAGUCCGUCCGGGUACGUGUAAUCCAGUUCCUGACGAUCUGAGCACACGGAGCAGCGCUCAGCUGCUGUGGAGGGCUCAGGGAAGGCAGAGUGUGCAUUGUCAUCUUCCUGAACCUACAGACAAAUCAAAGUGAGAAGCCACAGGGUGGAAAUCAGUCGCAUAUAUGCUAAAUAA
This is a long non-coding RNA of Zonotrichia leucophrys gambelii, 876 nucleotides long. RefSeq lists it as uncharacterized. Lineage: Eukaryota; Metazoa; Chordata; Aves; Passeriformes; Passerellidae. The transcript is spliced from 3 exons. The record is from RefSeq and is a predicted model, not a curated record.